This 216-nucleotide unclassified non-coding RNA is filed under the name Hevea brasiliensis (rubber tree). The record is from RNAcentral. Lineage: Eukaryota; Viridiplantae; Streptophyta; Magnoliopsida; Malpighiales; Euphorbiaceae.
GGAUACAUGAACAAUACUUGUAAUCGAGCGAAAACAGCGGCUGCUCGUGCUGUCUAGAUUGUGGGGGUGUGUUUACUUUUUCUUUUUCUUUUCCUUUCUACAUUUUCUUUCUCAUCAACCAACGAGAAUAAUUUUCUCUCUACUUUUUCUUUUCCUUUCUAAUUUUUUCUUUCUCAUCAAUCAAUGAUAGUAUUUUUCUUUUUACUUUUUCUUUUC